Molecule: ribosomal RNA, 252 nt
Filed under: uncultured bacterium
Lineage: Bacteria
Description: partial 16S ribosomal RNA
Rfam family: Bacterial small subunit ribosomal RNA
Source: RNAcentral
UACGGAGGGUGCAAGCGUUAUCCGGAUUCACUGGGUUUAAAGGGUGCGUAGGUGGGCAGGUAAGUCAGUGGUGAAAUCUCCGGGCUUAACCCGGAACUGCCGUUGAUACUAUUUGUCUUGAAUAUUGUGGAGGUAAGCGGAAUAUGUCAUGUAGCGGUGAAAUGCUUAGAUAUGACAUAGAACACCAAUUGCGAAGGCAGCUUACUACACAAUGAUUGACACUGAGGCACGAAAGCGUGGGGAUCAAACAGG